This 450-nucleotide ribosomal RNA is filed under the name uncultured bacterium. RNAcentral describes it as "bacterial SSU rRNA". It matches the Rfam family "Bacterial small subunit ribosomal RNA", at positions 328 to 793 of the family's 1533-position model. The record is from RNAcentral.
UUGCCAGACUCCUACGGGAGGCAGCAGUGGGGGAUAUUGCACAAUGGGGGAAACCCUGAUGCAGCGACGCCGCGUGGGUGAAGAAGCGCCUCGGCGCGUAAAGCCCUGUCAGCAGGGAAGAAAAUGACGGUACCUGAAGAAGAAGCCCCGACUAACUACGUGCCAGCAGCCGCGGUAAUACGUAGGGGGCAAGCGUUAUCCGGAUUUACUGGGUGUAAAGGGGGCGCAGACGGCGAUGCAAGCCAGGAGUGAAAGCCCGGGGCCCAACCCCGGGACUGCUCUUGGAACUGCGUGGCUGGAGUGCAGGAGGGGCAGGCGGAAUUCCUGGUGUAGCGGUGAAAUGCGUAGAUAUCUGGAGGAACAUCAGUGGCGAAGGCGACUAUCUGGCACAUAACUGACGCUGAGGAGCGAAAGCGUGGGUAGCAAACAGGAUUAGAUACCCCAGUAAGG